GAAAGCGCAGCGAUGGUCGACUCUCUUCUCGGUGGAUCGAAGACAUCAAGCGGGUAGCAGGGAGUCACUGGAUACUGGCACGUGGUGUUUGGAACUACCGGUCUGAAGGGUCGUCAGAGAAGAGGCGGGACCGAUGUACUACCAGGACUAAAGCUACGGGAGUUCGCGCAUCGGUGGCACGCGAGGGGGAGCGCUCUGGACCGUUGACCACCGGUCGAAGGUGAUGAAGAACCAGGCAUGGACUGCGACGGGCAAGCGGAUCUCAACGUCGUGUGUCGUCCAGCCCCAGAAGGGGCAGAGUAAAUGGAGAGGGAGAGUUGGAGGAUCACGGGAAUCGAUGGGCAACGGGCUAGCGACGGGUCCGAGGCAAACAAGCCGCACGUAAUAAGGUCGCGCGCGCGGCGUGGCGGCGCCACCAACGGACGACGCCCCGACGCUUCUAUUACUUCGUAAGCCUAUAUGCAUUGGAAUUACUGUCAUUUUGACAUUGUCAAGGAACAAAAGCAGAUAGUAAGAAGGCGCCAUCGUGAAGGCAAACUUCACAGUGAAGGAAAACAUCGUGAGGAAACCUGCAUACCAGAGAAUUUUCUUAAUUCUCUGCGUGUGUGAAGUCUGCCAAUCCGCAUUGGGCUAGCGUGGUGGAUUAUUGGCCUAACCCCUCUCAUUCUGAGAGGAGAAACGAGCUCAGCAGCGAGCUGAAUAUUGGUUGAUAACGACGAAGAAGGCGCCGCUGUAGAACCAAUCAGUA
This is a long non-coding RNA of Bicyclus anynana (squinting bush brown), 748 nucleotides long. RefSeq lists it as uncharacterized. Lineage: Eukaryota; Metazoa; Arthropoda; Insecta; Lepidoptera; Nymphalidae. The record is from RefSeq and is a predicted model, not a curated record. The transcript is spliced from 3 exons.